This 582-nucleotide long non-coding RNA is filed under the name Homo sapiens (human). Its description in RNAcentral is "HSALNT0385585". Lineage: Eukaryota; Metazoa; Chordata; Mammalia; Primates; Hominidae. The record is from RNAcentral.
UCUUUAACUUUAGCCAAUAUGUUUACACACAGAAUUUUUUUUACAAUUAACAUUUUAAAACUUGCUUAGAGUGUGAAAAAGAAGAGGCGAGAAAGACCCCCCGACAGACCAAAGCCCGUGUGCCGCUGCAUCCUGCAUCCAGCACCUACCUCCCGCCACUGUCGCCACUGCCACCAUGCCCAAGAGAAAGGCUGAAGGGGAUGCUAAGGGAGAUAAAGCCAAGGUGAAGGAUGAACCACAGAGAAGAUCCGCAAGGUUGUCUGCUAAACCUCCUCCUCCAAAGCCAGACAGCCCAAGCCUAGAAAGGCCCCUGCAAAGAAGGGAGAGAAGGUACCCAAAGGGAAAAAGGGAAAAGCUGAAUUGAUGUGGAGAAAACACCUUUCCCUUCUAGUUUUGAGAGACUUCCUCUUGGCUCCCAGGAGGAGGGAUUCCCUGACUUUGACACACAUGGCCACCUUGGCACAAAAGCCUUGUGGUAUAGAAAAACAAAUUUGUUUUUAUGUCCUCUUCUCCCUUUCCAUCUUUCAGCAUAGACUUAACUCCCUUAAGCCCAGACAUCUGUUGGGACCUGACCCCUGGCAU